This 197-nucleotide ribosomal RNA is filed under the name uncultured Bacillota bacterium. RNAcentral's name for it is "uncultured Firmicutes bacterium partial 16S ribosomal RNA". It matches the Rfam family "Bacterial small subunit ribosomal RNA", at positions 110 to 304 of the family's 1533-position model. The record is from RNAcentral. Lineage: Bacteria; Bacillati; Bacillota.
GUAACACGUAAGCAACCUGCCCCAGAGACCGGGACAACGUUCCGAAAGGAGCGCUAAUACCGGAUGUGCCCACCUUUAGACAUCUUCGGGUGAGUAAAUCGCGCAAUCGGCUCUGGGAGGGGCUUGCGGCCUAUCAGCUAGAUGGUGGGGUAACGGCCUACCAUGGUGACGACGGGUAGCUGGUCUGAGAGGAUGGU